This 28-nucleotide small RNA is filed under the name Bombyx mori (domestic silkworm). RNAcentral's name for it is "ovarian small RNA-22114". The record is from RNAcentral. Lineage: Eukaryota; Metazoa; Arthropoda; Insecta; Lepidoptera; Bombycidae.
UAGAUCUAAAUAUUCUUGCCGUAAAACA